RNAcentral lists this ribosomal RNA (329 nucleotides) under uncultured eukaryote. Its description in RNAcentral is "partial 18S ribosomal RNA". It matches the Rfam family "Eukaryotic small subunit ribosomal RNA", at positions 1470 to 1796 of the family's 1831-position model. The record is from RNAcentral.
CCCUUAGAUGUUCUGGGCCGCACGCGCGCUACACUGACGGAGCCAGCGAGUACAUCACCUUAGCCGAAAGGUUUGGGUAAUCUUGUUAAACUCCGUCGUGCUGGGGAUAGAGCAUUGCAAUUAUUGCUCUUCAACGAGGAAUGCCUAGUAAGCGCAAGUCAUCAGCUUGCGUUGACUACGUCCCUGCCCUUUGUACACACCGCCCGUCGCUACUACCGAUUGAAUGGCUCAGUGAGGCUUUGGGACUGGCUCAGGGAGGUCGGCAACGACCACCCAGAGCCGGAAACUUAGUCAAACUUGGUCAUUUAGAGGAAGUAAAAGUCGUAACA